AGAUUUAGAUCCUGGUCUCAGAACGAAUCGCUGGGCGGUCUGUGGAUAACGACAUGCAAGUCUGAACGCUUGAUUUCCCGUACGCAAUAUGGGAAGUCAGGAGUGGCGCAAGGGUGCGUAACACGUGGCAUCAUCUGCCUGGAAGUUCGGAAUAAUUCCGCGAAAGCGGGACUAAUGCCGGAUGUGGUUGGAAGACUAAAGCUGGGGACCCGCAAGGGCCUGGCGCUUCCAGAUAGUCCGCGGACCUAUCAGCUAGUUGCGCGGGGUAACGGCCCACCAAGGCUAAGACGGGUAGCUGGUCUGAGAGGACGACCAGCCUCACUGGAACUGAUGACACGGUCCAGACACCUACGGGUGGCAUCAGUCGCAGAAUUUUUCUCAAUGGGCCAAAGCCUGAAGGAGCGACGCCGCGUGGGGNAUGAAGGGCUUCGGCCCGUAAACCCCUGUCAUUUGCAAACAAACCUUACUUAUGAACAAUAGGUGAGCUGAUUGUAGCGAAAGAGGAAGGGACGGCUAACUCUGUGCCAUGCAGCCGCGGUAAUACAGAGGUCCCGAGCGUUGUUCGGAUUCACUGGGCGUNAAGGGUGCGCAGGUGGGUUGGCAAGUUCGAUGUGAAAGCCCCGGGCUUAACCCGGGAAUGGCAUUUGGAAACUGCUGAUCUGGAGGAUCGGAGGGGGGACUGGAAUUCUUGGUUGUAGCAGUUGAAAUGCGUAGAUAUCAAGAGGGAACAACCCAGUGGCCGAAAGGCGAAGUCCCUGGACGAUACCUGACACUGAGGCACGAAAGCCAAGGGAGCAAACAGGAUUAGAUACCCUGGUAGUCUUGGCUGUAAACGGUGCGCAUUUGCUGUAAACGGAAUCGACCCCGUUUGUGGCGAAGCUAACGCGAUAAAUGCGCCGCCUGGGAAGUACGGUCGCAAGAUUAAAACUCAAAGAAAUUGACGGGGGCCUGCACAAGCGGUGGAGUAUGUGGCUUAAUUCGAUGCAACGCGAAGAACCUUACCUGGCCUUGACAUGCAAGUGGUAGAACCAUGAAAGUGGGACGACCCCGCAAGGGGAGCUUGCACAGGUGCUGCAUGGCUGUCGUCAGCUCGUGUCGUGAGAUGUUGGGUUAAGUCCCGCAACGAGCGCAACCCUUGUGUCCUGUUGCCACUCCUUCGAGAGAAGGAAGCACUCUGGACAGACUGCCUCGCUUAAACGAGGAGGAAGGUGGGGAUGACGUCAAGUCAGUAUGGCCCUUACGGCCAGGGCUGCACACGUACUACAAUGCAUGGCACAAAGGGAAGCUAGACCGUCAGGUGGAGCAAAUCCCAUAAAACCAUGCCCAGUUCAGAUUGUCGUCUGCAACUCGACGACAUGAAGCCGGAAUCGCUAGUAAUGGCGCAUCAGCUACGGCGCCGUGAAUACGUUCCCAGGCCUUGUACACACCGCCCGUCACAUCAUGAAAGCCGGUUGUACCCGAAGUCCACUCUGCUAACCGCAAGGAGGCAGUGGCCGAAGGUAUGGCUGGUGAUUGGGAUGAAGUCGUACAAGGUAGCCGUAGGGGAACCUGCGGCUGGAUCACCUCCU
Molecule: ribosomal RNA, 1568 nt
Filed under: uncultured bacterium
Lineage: Bacteria
Description: bacterial SSU rRNA
Rfam family: Bacterial small subunit ribosomal RNA
Source: RNAcentral